Molecule: long non-coding RNA, 608 nt
Filed under: Homo sapiens (human)
Lineage: Eukaryota; Metazoa; Chordata; Mammalia; Primates; Hominidae
Description: HSALNT0125804
Source: RNAcentral
CAAUAGCUGAAUAUCAAAAGCACCAUCAUGAAAUAUGACAAUACAGAUAAUGCUCUUGGUUAGUUCACUGAAUGAAUAGACAAAAUAUUUUGAAUUACAACAAUAUAAAGAAUUCAGGAGACAAAGACGUGAACUAUUCUAGCUGCUUACCAACUAGGACAUAGACUCUGUUUGCAGAAAAAUCAUAAUCUUCAAUAAGCUGUAGGAACAAUGAUAUACUCCAACAGUACAAAUCAGGAAACGGUCAAGGGUGCUCACCUUUCUCUCUAGACUGUCCUCCCCAUCUGUGGAACUAACACUAUCAUACAGUCUUGUCCUAGAGGGUCUCUGGCGUCUGUUCUUCACAGAGAGCUGGGCUCGAGUUUUCAGUGCUUUUGAAUCCAGGCGCUCUGUCUCUGGGACUGCUUCAUUCAAGUCUAAGAAUAUUGAAAGAUAAUCAGUGAGAGAAACCUUUGGAGAGAACUGAUGAAGAGACCACAGACACUGAUAAAAUCUCAAGAAAGACCAGUGAGGAAUUUACCUAAUCAGCAAAUUGACGAUAGCUGGGGAAAAGAAACAAGGUCUGGCUACACAAAUGAAGAAACAAACAGUUAAAAAAUCGUAAGUAC